Molecule: long non-coding RNA, 133 nt
Filed under: Sus scrofa (pig)
Lineage: Eukaryota; Metazoa; Chordata; Mammalia; Artiodactyla; Suidae
Description: lncRNA (ENSSSCG00030070158.1)
Source: RNAcentral
UAAAGGUUUGAUGGCAAAGUGUGGGUAGGGUUUAGGAAAUCAGAGUCCUGCAGUACCCUGGGCUGGCAGCCCCCUGGCCUGAAGGUUGGUGAAAACCCUGUGUCCUUGGAGAAAGCUGGUUCCCGUUUUCCUG